This 505-nucleotide ribosomal RNA is filed under the name uncultured bacterium. Its description in RNAcentral is "partial 16S ribosomal RNA". It matches the Rfam family "Bacterial small subunit ribosomal RNA", at positions 28 to 507 of the family's 1533-position model. The record is from RNAcentral.
GACGAACGCUGGCGGCGUGCCUAAUACAUGCAAGUCGAACGCACAGUUUAUACCUUAGCUUGCUACACCAUAGACUGAGAGUUGCGAAAGGGUGAGUUACGCGUAGCUAACCUGCCUGGUAGCGGGGGAUAACUAUUGGUAACGAUAGCUAAUACCGCCUACUAUUAAUUAUUGCAUGAUAAUUAAUUGCAAGGUGCAAUUGCACCACUACCAGAUGGCUCUGCGUUGUAUUAGUUAGUAGGUGAGGUAACGGCUCACCUAGGCGACGAUACAUAGCCGACCGGAGAGGGUGAGCGGCCACACUGGGACUGAGACACGGCCCAGACUCCUACAGGAGGCAGCAGUAGGGAAUCUGCGGCAAUGGACGAAAGUCUGACCGAGCAACGCCGCGUGAGUGAAGAAGGUUUUCGGAUCGUAAAGCUCGGUUGUAAGGGAAGAACGGGUGUGAGAGUGGAAAGUUCACACUGUGACGGUAUCUUACCAGAAAGCGACGGCUAACUACGUG